Long non-coding RNA from Cryptomeria japonica (Japanese cedar), 924 nucleotides. RefSeq lists it as uncharacterized. The transcript has 2 exons. The record is from RefSeq and is a predicted model, not a curated record. NCBI's taxonomy places the organism in Eukaryota, Viridiplantae, Streptophyta, Pinopsida, Cupressales, Cupressaceae.
ACAUUCAAGGUGGACCACAAAAGAGCAAUUAUUAUCCUCCACUGGCAAUGCUUAUCUGCAAUAAGAAUCGAAUCUCCUUUUCCAAAAGAUGGCCAUUCUUUAUGUCUGCCAAUAUCAACGCAGAAUAUUUGAACAGCUCUCCAUUCUCAUCUCAUCUAUAAAUUGGGCAAGCUCUCUUCAAAGUAGGUAACUCAAUUGUUAAUUCGUAGGUCAUUAGAUAUAUAUAGCAGCUGCAUUUACUACUGGAGCUCUCUGCAUUGCAUUGCUUCCUAUGUAAAAUGGGGUGGGUUCAGAAAGCUGCUGUCGAUGUUUUUGUAUAAUUUUCGUUAUCAAGAGGGUUUAGAGAAAGUUGCUGCCAAUGGUAUUGUAUAAUUUUCUUUAUCACGAAGGUUUAGAUUUAAAAAGUAAAAUUGUGAUAUUUAAGAUUUUUUAUUAUUAAAAUGAUUUCUAUUAAUUGUUUAAAAGGUUUUGGAUUUUUAAAAACUAUGAAAAAUAUGAAUUAUUAUUAAUUUUUAUUAUUAUUUUAUUGUUAUUUCAAUUUCAUUUUUUUCUAUAUAUAUUUAUUUAUUGUUCGAAUUUUAAAUUGUGGUGAGCCUCCCUCCUGUGACGGGCUGCAGCAGGAGGAUUUCAUUGGGAUAUUCUCAUUUUGCCACUGACGUGUUGCAACAGGAGUAAAUCAGCUGUUAAUUGUGUAAUUAGAAUUUUUUAACAGCAGAUCUGAGUAGUGAAAAAGGAAAAUUUUUGUUUUGUUGCAGCAGAACUGCUUGUCAGGUGUGUUUGCAGCUCCAAGUGAUUUGUAAUCAGUUUAAAUUGUAAUAGUUUGUUGUUCUGGUUUAAUAGAAACAAGAAAAGUUGUAUAAAAGUUUGCCUAAAAAGAUUGAAAAAAAAAAUUAUUAAAAGAUUUUGUUGGAUAUCAAAAGAUCA